Molecule: non-coding RNA, 156 nt
Organism: Pelobates cultripes (western spadefoot toad)
Lineage: Eukaryota; Metazoa; Chordata; Amphibia; Anura; Pelobatidae
Source: the annotation of a GenBank genome assembly
GCAGACACAUUCCAGCCAAUCAGCAGCAGACCCUCCCUCCCAGACCUUCCCACCUCCUGGACAGCAUCCAUUGUGAAGCUGCAUUCUUAGUGAGCUGUCCAGGAGGUGGGAGGGUCUGGGAGGGAGGGUCUGCUGCUGAUUGGCUGGAAUGUGAGG